RNAcentral lists this unclassified non-coding RNA (229 nucleotides) under plant metagenome. RNAcentral's name for it is "partial contains small subunit ribosomal RNA, internal transcribed spacer 1, and 5.8S ribosomal RNA". The record is from RNAcentral.
UCUCCGUAGGUGAACCUGCGGAGGGAUCAUUACAGAGUUCUCGCCCUCGCGGGUAGAUCUCCCACCCACUGUUAUCGUUACUGUGUUGCUUUGGCGGGCCGCCGGGCCCCGCUCGGCCGCCGGCUCCGGCUGGCGCGCGCCCACCAGAGGCCCAGCAAACUCUGAAUGUUAGUGUCGUCUGAGUACUAUAUAAUAGUUAAAACUUUCAACAACGGAUCUCUUGGUUCUG